Molecule: long non-coding RNA, 1372 nt
Organism: Bos taurus (domestic cattle)
Lineage: Eukaryota; Metazoa; Chordata; Mammalia; Artiodactyla; Bovidae
Source: Ensembl
GGUGGCAUCCUGGAGCUCACUGCAGCUCUGCCAGGCAGGCCAGGGCUCUGGCUUUGAUGCCACCCCUUUCAGACACAGUCAGACACAACUUUGCAGCUAAACAAUCAACAACCAAUGACUUUCAGACACACUACCAUGGCCUUGACACAGGAAAUUUGAUGAACAAACUGACACAUUUGUCCUGUAAUUGCAGGUGUUGGCAGCUAAGUUUCAACACACUGAUUUGCUUGUCGAUUAUGAAAUCUUUGAUAGGUCUCAAUGACCAGUUCAACCUUGCAUAUGACCAGGAAUGCUUGACCACAACUUCUAAGAAGCCUUGCAUCUGGCACUUCAGACCAGCGUUCCUAGUGCGAAAAGGCAGCGCGACAGUUCAGCUGGGGAACCGUGUGCAGAGACCCAGCGCCCCGCACUACGAGCUGGAGCCUGAGCAGCAUGCGGAGGCUGCCUAGGGAAAACCCCACCCCUCCGCAUGACGUGAUCCCUGUAAAGCAGCCCCGCCCACAGCCCGUAGGCAGAGCACGUGCUCUAGAGCUGGAGCUUUCACCUCUCCAUUCUUUAAUCAAAGAACAGAGCUUUCUUUUGUUUCCCAACCGAAGAACUUCAUCUGGUACUACUGGUGCCAGUAACAUCAGGCAGAAGAAUCCUUGUUGGGGCCCCACUCUGGAAGGCUAGUAACAGUUUGAGGACUGGUUAAGCAAACUGAAAAUUACCAAACUACUAAGGCUUCAAGGGCUAUAUGUAACAGAUAAUACUUCAAACCAGAACAGUGUUUACAUAUGUUAAAAUGUUGAGUUCCAAAAUAUUCGGUAAUGAUUUUUUUUUUAAACGAGUGGAAUGUGAGAAGCAUAAACUAAUGGAAAAUCAGAUUUGGGGAAUUUUACCUACAUGAAUCACGCACUCAAACUGGUUGCCCUCAAAUGGAUAAAUCUGUCCACUCUGCAAUAAAAUGAUUGAUUUUAAUGGGUUCAGUUGGCUGUUACAUCAGUCUCUGCCAGGCUCCGCUAUCCAUGGGAUUCUCCAGGCAAGAACACUGGAGUAGGUUGCCAUGCCCUCCUCCAGGGGAUCGUCCCAACCAGGAUCCUCCCGAGUCUCUUCCAUCUAACCUGCACUGGCAGGCGGAUUCUUUACCACUAGCGCCACCUGGGAAGCCCAGUGAUAAGAGUAGCAAGGUAGAUAAUCACUUGGCAAGUCUAUUACCAGCUAUGACAGCUGAAUUCACUUUGGGUUUUUACACGAUUUUGAACUUAGAAUUGGAUUUAAGUAGGAAAAAUACUUUACAAUACACUGAGUAGUAGAAAUUCUACGUCAGGCUUUAUCUGUAAAUGUGGCUGGGGUCAAAAAGGCAGCUUGCUGGUUAGGAUACUGGUUACAC